UACAGAGGUCCCGAGCGUUGUUCGGAUUCACUGGGCGUAAAGGGUGCGUAGGUGGCCAGGCAAGUUCGGUGUGAAAGCUCGGAGCUUAACUCCGAAAUGUCAUUGAAUACUAUCUGGCUAGAGGGUCGGAGGGGAGACUGGAAUUCUCGGUGUAGCAGUGAAAUGCGUAGAUAUCGAGAGGAACACCAGUGGCAAAGGCGAGUCUCUGGACGACUCCUGACACUGAGGCACGAAAGCUAGGGGAGCAAACAGG
This 253-nucleotide ribosomal RNA is filed under the name uncultured bacterium. RNAcentral describes it as "partial 16S ribosomal RNA". It matches the Rfam family "Bacterial small subunit ribosomal RNA", at positions 524 to 776 of the family's 1533-position model. The record is from RNAcentral.